CAAAAAUGAAAUAAAAGCUUAAAAAAAAGGGAGAAACUACACAACCAACCAGACUGUACGGUAUCUGAAGGGCGAGAAGAGAGAGAGGGGCGUGACCAGAGGGCUCAAUCACUGUCGAAGCAUCUUCGUUGAAAUCUCGCCUUCGAUCGGAUUCUCUGGUGUUUCUAGAUCAUUCCGGCAAGGUUUCUGAAGCCUUCGUCGAUCCUCCGGCGUUCCACGGCCUCUGACAUUUUGUCAUUAUUAUUUUCAGCACAGUAGGUGAAGUCAUUGUAGAAGAAUCCCUAGAGAGGUUUUCAAUGGAUAUGUACGGACGCAAUCAGGCGACGAAUGGGUCUCAAUCUGGUCAAGCACCCGAAUGGAGCUCCGGAGGUAACGAGACGGGCCUCGAAGAAUCGAUGUGGCGAUUAGGGUUGAGCAAUAGCGAGACGUACCCAGAGCGACCUGGAGUGCCUGAUUGUGCGUACUACAUGCGAACCGGCAUCUGUGGAUAUGGUAGUAGGUGCCGUUACAAUCAUCCCCGCGACCGUGCUAUGGUUGAGGCAGCAGUUAGAGCUACAGGAGAUUACCCAGAACGAGUAGGUGAACCCCCAUGUCAGUUCUAUUUGAAAACUGGAACCUGUAAAUUUGGGGCAUCAUGCAAAUUCCACCAUCCAAAAAAUGCAGGUGGAUCCAUGAGCCAAGUUCCUCUAAAUAUACAUGGAUAUCCACUACGAGAGGGUGAGAAAGAAUGCUCCCACUAUUUGAAAACGGGGCAGUGCAAAUUUGGUGUGACCUGUAAAUUCCACCAUCCUCAACCUGCUGGCACGACAGCUCCAGCAUCUGCACCGCAGUUUUAUCCGUCGGUGCAUUCUCCUAUACCUGACCAGUAUGGAGGCCCGUCCUCUAGUUUGAGAGUAGCUAGACCUCCUCUUUUACCCGGUUCGUAUAUGCAAGGGGCUUAUGGUCCCAUGCUCUUAACCCCAGGCGUUGUCCCAAUUCCUGGCUGGAGUCCUUACUCGGCUCCGAUGAGUCCUGUUUUAUCUCCUGGUGCACAACAUGCGGUUGGAGCAACAUCUUUGUAUGGAGUCACACAGCUCUCUUCUUCCACGCCUUCGGUUGCUGGGGUUUAUCAGUCUUUGUCCUCUUCAACAGCUCCGUCUGCUGCUGGCAAUCAGAAAGAACAAAUCUUUCCUGAAAGACCCGGAGAACCUGAAUGUCAGUACUAUUUGAGAACAGGGGAUUGUAAAUUUGGAUUAUCUUGUAAGUUCCAUCAUCCUCGAGACAGGGUUCCGCCAAGAGCAAAUUGCAUUCUCAGCCCAAUUGGUCUCCCGUUGCGCCCGGGUGUGCAGCCAUGCACGUUUUACCUGCAAAACGGCUUCUGUAGGUUCGGAUCCACAUGCAAGUUUGAUCAUCCAAUGGGAACCCUCAGCUACAAUCCAUCGGCAUCCUCUCUGGUGGAUGCGCCAGUGGCUCCCUCCUAUCCCAUUGGCUCUCUCCUGGGUGCACUUGCUCCUUCAUCCUCGGAACUUAGGCCUGAACUCAUCUCUGGCUCUCAGAAGGACGCGUAUUUGACCGGCCUAUCUUCCUCAAGAAGCACAUCCAGCAUCUCUGCUGGUUUGAUUUUCUCCCAGAGCGGCUCUCUUCCAUUUCCGGAUAUGCAACUCCCAAGCCAGACUACUGCUCUUCCUUUAAGCAGCGGCAGCAGAAUCACAAGGCAAGGCCGUGAGAUUCGGCGCUCAUUUUAACAUAAUCUCAAGGGUACGCCUCAAAAUCGUCUUUUCAAUUGUUAUCUAUAUACUUGCUCUUGAAUUUAUGACCAAAGUGGUACUUCAAAGGUUUGGCAAAAGCCUAUUACUAAGACCUGAAGGAGGCCGGCCAAAUGACAUGGAAAAGGAAAAUAAUGUAAUGUGCAUACCAUCAGCAUAGCGAUAAAAGCGGAACCUGUGUAUACGUUUAUAGAGACAGAUAAGCUCAUCGUCCCUACAUCCAGACCAUUGCUGCUGAAAGAACCGAUCAAGUUCCUUGGAGAUUUAUCUUUUUUUUAUGUGAAGGAUCAUGUCUCGAUGAAGAUGGAAUUUGUAAAGCGGAGCGGGCGAGGGCUGUUCAGGACGCUGUCGAAGGGACUGAUCGUGUUCACGUUUAGAAGACGUCUGAUUCGGACAGAAGGUUCAUGUUUCAGAAGCGAAGGUUUCAUUCCGUUUCUUGAGCUUUAAACAAUUUGGUUUUUGGGAGUGCGAUUAAAAUGUAAAAGUUUGAGUGAGUGCCCAUUUCUGCAAUCACAAACUCACUAUGCAGUUUCUGCCCUUCUUCUUGUUCAUCGUUUCCAAGGAAUAAGAAUAUUCUUGAGAAUGUAAUAGACACAGAUGUAUAUAAGGAUGUGAUCUUUAGAAUAGUAAAAUAAGACGGACAGGUUCUGGGAAUUCGACAUACAUAUCAAGAAUUUUUCAAUAACAAAUUCGAUAAAUAUAGUAUAAUCUUGAAGAAAUCUCAAUGACGAAAUCUAUUCCGUGAUGACGUCCGCCACGAUGGAGUUAUAGUGUUCGCCAAGCCCG
Tarenaya hassleriana is the source of this 2531-nucleotide RNA transcript. It is a transcript of the gene named zinc finger CCCH domain-containing protein 32-like, with no coding region annotated. The transcript has 8 exons. The record is from RefSeq and is a predicted model, not a curated record. NCBI's taxonomy places the organism in Eukaryota, Viridiplantae, Streptophyta, Magnoliopsida, Brassicales, Cleomaceae.